CCUACGGGGGGCUGCAGUGGGGAAUAUUGGACAAUGGGGGGAACCCUGAUCCAGCCAUGCCGCGUGUGUGAAGAAGGCCCUCGGGUUGUAAAGCACUUUCAGUGAGGAAGAACGCCUGGUGGUUAAUACCCAUUGGGAAAGACAUCACUCACAGAAGAAGCACCGGCUAACUCCGUGCCAGCAGCCGCGGUAAUACGGAGGGUGCGAGCGUUAAUCGGAAUUACUGGGCGUAAAGCGCGCGUAGGUGGCUUGAUAAGCCGGUUGUGAAAGCCCCGGGCUCAACCUGGGAACGGCAUCCGGAACUGUCAAGCUAGAGUGCAGGAGAGGAAGGUAGAAUUCCCGGUGUAGCGGUGAAAUGCGUAGAGAUCUGGAGGAAUACCAGUGGCGAAGGCGGCCUUCUGGACUGACACUGACACUGAGGUGCGAAAGCGUGGGUAGCAAACAGGAUUAGAUACCCCUGUAGUC
This 465-nucleotide ribosomal RNA is filed under the name Vreelandella stevensii. RNAcentral's name for it is "partial 16S ribosomal RNA". It matches the Rfam family "Bacterial small subunit ribosomal RNA", at positions 338 to 795 of the family's 1533-position model. The record is from RNAcentral. Lineage: Bacteria; Pseudomonadati; Pseudomonadota; Gammaproteobacteria; Oceanospirillales; Halomonadaceae.